CUUAUCAGAUAUAUAAUUUGCAAAUAUUUCUCCCAUUCUACAGGUUGUCUUUUCACUCUCUUGAUUGUGUCCCUUGAUGUGGAAUAGGCUCUAUCUUUUUAUGGAGAAAUGUCAAAGAAUUCAUGGACGUUUUGAAGCUAUCACAGCAUAAAAGGGGUUUUGGCAAAAAAAAUUCCAAAGAAUGAGAAAUGAGGUGAUAGGAAGAGCCCCAAACUGCCACCCUGAGCGUUACGGGGGUGCAAAU
Non-coding RNA from Microcebus murinus (gray mouse lemur), 244 nucleotides. NCBI's taxonomy places the organism in Eukaryota, Metazoa, Chordata, Mammalia, Primates, Cheirogaleidae. The record is from RefSeq and is a predicted model, not a curated record.